RNAcentral lists this ribosomal RNA (259 nucleotides) under uncultured bacterium. RNAcentral's name for it is "partial small subunit ribosomal RNA". It matches the Rfam family "Bacterial small subunit ribosomal RNA", at positions 26 to 287 of the family's 1533-position model. The record is from RNAcentral.
AGAUUGAACGCUGGCGGCGUGCUUAACACAUGCAAGUCGAGCGGUAACGCGGGAGCAAUCCUGGCGACGAGCGGCGAACGGGUGAGUAAUGCUUGGGAAUCUGCCCAUUAGUGGGGAACAACCAGCCGAAAGGUUGGCUAAUACCGCAUACGCCCUACGGGGGAAAGCGGGGGAUCGUAAGACCUCGCGCUAAUGGAUGAGCCCAAGUCGGAUUAGCUUGUUGGUAGGGUAACGGCCUACCAAGGCGACAAUCCGUAGC